GCACCCCCCGUUGCGGCCACAGACGCCGCCGGAUGAUGUUCGAUUUCCCGAACGUCAUCUGGCUCCACCGCCGCCGGUGAGGCCGCCGAUGUUCCUUCGGCCGCUUCUUCCACCGGCCUCUCCUCCGCAUGCGCUGCCGGAGCCGCGAGCGCUAUCACUGGCUCCGAUUGGUCGGUCGCCGAUGCUUCGACGGUCGGCGCCGCUGGAGUAGGCUUCUUCGGAGGAUGCGAAGGUCCUACCCCCGAUGCCGGUCUCUUCCUUGUUUCCAAUUGCCGGAUCUCGACGUCGGUCGGCCGCAUUCUUGGAGGUGUCCCUGCGAUACCGAC
Molecule: long non-coding RNA, 326 nt
Filed under: Elaeis guineensis (African oil palm)
Lineage: Eukaryota; Viridiplantae; Streptophyta; Magnoliopsida; Arecales; Arecaceae
Description: long non-coding RNA (EGUI_LNC075404)
Source: RNAcentral